RNAcentral lists this ribosomal RNA (381 nucleotides) under Triticum aestivum (bread wheat). Its description in RNAcentral is "partial small subunit ribosomal RNA". Lineage: Eukaryota; Viridiplantae; Streptophyta; Magnoliopsida; Poales; Poaceae. The record is from RNAcentral.
CACGAUGAGUUCCCCGACGAGCAUGCCGCCUAUGUCGUCUUUACAAGCCAGCCCGAAGGCCGGCGCAGCAGACGCCGAGAGCACCAGGAAGUCAACGUGGUCGCUACCAACCCCGCCGAGCACAUGCACUGGUCAGAAAAGCCUAUCAGCUGGAGCCGGGCCGACCACCCGGAGGUGAUGCCAUCUCCCGCCUCUUAUGCAUUGGUUUUGGAUGCCACCCUUGCAACGGACAGACACACCGCCCGUUUCUCCCACGUGCUGAUAGACGGCGGGAGCAGCAUCAACAUCCUGUACCGUGACACCCUGGAGAAGCUGAACGUCAAGACGAAGCAACUCAUGCCUACUCGGACUGUGUUCCAUGGCAUUGUACCUGGCCUGUCC